This 761-nucleotide ribosomal RNA is filed under the name Entrophospora claroidea. RNAcentral describes it as "partial 28S large subunit ribosomal RNA". It matches the Rfam family "Eukaryotic large subunit ribosomal RNA", at positions 38 to 648 of the family's 3401-position model. The record is from RNAcentral. Lineage: Eukaryota; Fungi; Glomeromycota; Glomeromycetes; Entrophosporales; Entrophosporaceae.
GCAUAUCAAUAAGCGGAGGAAAAGAAACUAACAAGGAUUCCCCUAGUAACGGCGAGUGAAGAGGGAAGAGCUCAAAUUUUAAAUCUGCCUUGUUUCAAGGUCGAGUUGUAAUUUGAAGAGGCGUUUUCUUGGGCUCGCGACCGGUAGAAGUUCUUUGGAACAGGACAUCAUAGAGGGUGACAAUCCCGUCUGCGACCGGUCGUGCGUUCAUCUACGAUACGCUUUCAAAGAGUCGAGUUGUUUGGGAUUGCAGCUCCAAAUGGGUGGUAAACAUCACCUAAGGCUAAAUAUUGGCGAGAGACCGAUAGCGAACAAGUACCGUGAGGGAAAGAUGAAAAGAACUUUGAAAAGAGAGUUAAACAGUACGUGAAAUUGUUGAAAGGGAAACGAUUGAAGUCAGUCGUGCUGGCGCGAAAUCAACCCUCUCGUCGAGAGGACACAUGGCGUGGCGAGCCUCAAAACCGUCACGAAGCGUGAACUCUUGGCGAAAAGGAGCACUUUCGUGUCCGCUGGUUAACAUCAAUUUCGAACGUCAUAAAAAGGCUGGAGGGAUGUGGCUCCUUCGGGAGUGUUAUAACCUUUAGCGGAAUGUGGUGGUCGGGAUUGAGGAUUGCAACAGAAUACCUUUAGGGCUGUUCCACCUGGCUUCUCUUUGGUAUCCUGGUGACGACAGCUUGCUGACAGUUGUUAGGAUUCGCCUUUGAACAGGCUAGAGUGUGAGCAAAUUCGUUAAGGAUGUUGACGUAAUGGCUUUAAACGAC